UGAUCACGAUUUUCACCCAAAUUGUACAAGAAUUUCCAUUAAGAUACUGCAACAUGUCGCCAUAAACUUUUUCUUAAGAUACUAUGUUGACAUUUAUCAGAUGGUCGAGGCAUGCAAAUCGACUGGCAUGCAUGUGCCCCACCUUUGCCUUUCAACUGAUGCUUCGAUCACUCCUACUUCUCAAAAGUCAACUCCCUACUAAAUAACUUUCAUGUCGCCAUGAUCGCCUCCAUCCCUGACCAAUGGAAGCCACCGCAGGCCCCGAUUGAAGCCGCUGCAGCCUUGACGACAAUGCCGACGCCUCCAUGUCAACCAACCGCCACAUCUCUCUAUCUAUCCCUCAGCCUGGUUUCUCUGUCUUCCGCCAAGUUAGCCACGGACAAAGCCUCCAAGGUCUUGGCGCCAUUGAGCUCGACCAGAUCUGAUCAGGUGAUGGGCAAAGCUGAUGUGAGGUUAAACCAGAUCUAUCGAGCUCAACAGAUAGGGCGAACAUGUACUACCCUCAAAAUUCAGGGUUAGUUCACAUUUGUCAAUAUUAGAGCUUUGUGAUGCACGUUCUUUUUUUAUUUUUGGUUGGUUUCUUAACCUUGAAGACAUUGACAAGUCUGAUUAUGUUUGUGCCUAUAUCGAUUCCUUUUGUUUGAACAAUAUCGUUUUUUAAUGCUUUU
Molecule: long non-coding RNA, 668 nt
Organism: Syzygium oleosum
Lineage: Eukaryota; Viridiplantae; Streptophyta; Magnoliopsida; Myrtales; Myrtaceae
Exons: 2
Source: RefSeq, a predicted model, not a curated record